CCCCGUUGAAGUGAUGGGCUAAUUCCACAGCCGCAAGGCUAAUUUUUGCGUACUGGUUUGGCAAAGAACUGCGCUAAUUGGGCGUUUGAGACUCGAGUUUGAACUUCUAAGCUACUGGAGAAAGGCGGCGGGCUCUUCUUCUUCUUGUGAGGUUUUAGGCUGCACCGCGAAGAAGAACAGCAAACGAGGGUUUUGAGGAACUUGGCGUAGUCUAUCUCUUUGUAUUUAUAUGUUGGCCAAUUAUCU
This 246-nucleotide unclassified non-coding RNA is filed under the name Hevea brasiliensis (rubber tree). The record is from RNAcentral. Lineage: Eukaryota; Viridiplantae; Streptophyta; Magnoliopsida; Malpighiales; Euphorbiaceae.